Molecule: small RNA, 82 nt
Filed under: Liquorilactobacillus oeni
Lineage: Bacteria; Bacillati; Bacillota; Bacilli; Lactobacillales; Lactobacillaceae
Also listed under: 1 other name
Description: Lactobacillus oeni SAM-III sequence
Rfam family: SAM-III riboswitch aptamer (SMK box)
Source: RNAcentral
UAAUGUUACAGCACAUUCCCGAUAGGAUUCAUUAAUGUGAAGAUGCCUUGUAACCAAAUAUUUGAAUGGGGGAAUUAUUGUG